GCAGACUGUUGAAAACACACAGUCGGGUGCCUAUUCAGCUCUCUGAACACUUUAGAGUUAGUGAAGACCGUUCUGUCGCUUUACACGUUACACAACUUGAAAGAUUUUUGACUAUCCUGCUGUUCUUUUGUCUGUUUUGUACUAGUCUCACCCAGACAUGUGAAAAACAUCUGCGAAGGAAUGAAAGAAUGCCAGACAGCCCUCAGGCCCAUUUCAGUGGGCACCUCAUGGCUACUGCCAUGGGGCCUGACAGCUGAAGCCCUGGUUGUUAUGGGCAUAAGCUCACUCAUUUAUUCAGACAACUAUAAGACGUGCUAUGUCAAACCCUGAAACAUUAGUAAAUAGUUUCAACAACGAUCCACUGAGCCUUCGUUCUUCCGCAGCCAGUCUCCUAAUGCCUCACAUCUCCUCUCAAAGACAUUUUCAAAGACUCUGGAUCAGACACAAUGGAAGACAUCCACUAAGCUGAGGGAAAAUUGGAUCUGCUUGUGAAAAGGUGACUAGAGAGUACGAAGAUUUCAGAUGACUCAAGUGUGAAGAGAUGAUACCAAUCCCUGCAAGUGCUGUGGAUCGCUGUGGGAUCAGCUCAGGAGUGUUCCUUCCUGUCGACGGGGCUUGUUAUUGUCACAAGCAUCCUCACCAGCUCCUCUCGCUGUGAAGCUCCCUAAUUAGUCACCUCGUCUCUCCUGAUUCACAGUGAGCAGCUCACAAUACACAAAACACAAAAAGAGUCAUUUUAAUGGGCCCGUGUUUUUCAGGUGUACUCGAGAUAAAAGUGCAAAGUGAAUUUUGUUUCACAGGUAGUGGGUCACAUGUAAAAACACUGAUUCUUGAGUACUGGGAUAAAACAAUACAAAAAAAAAAAAAAGUUUAUGUGAAUUAUUUUGGUAAUAAAAUAUGCUGUUCUUUUGAGCUUAAGAAAUGUUUCUUGAGCACCAAAUCAGCAUACUAGAAUGAUUUCUGAACUUAAAAGUGAACCUAAAAGUAGUGUAUAUUAAUUAAAAAUGUGUGAUUUUUUUUUUUUUUUUUUUUUUUUUGAAUCAUUAGGAUACAAUCAUAGCUAAAAAAAUCCUGGAAAACCAGAACACAUUCAUUAUUAGUAACACUGGCUCAGAAAUAAACUUUAUAUAUGACGAUGUGAUUCUAAUCUAACAUUAUUAUCACAGAGAAAUCAGCUUAUGAGAUUUUUAGCAUGCCAUAUGUUACAAGCAAGAUUCAAAUCUGCAUGGGAAACACUACUGGUUAAAGUCCAACACUUUAGCCACCCAGAUGAUGCUCCUGUGGCACAAUAUUAUUAAAUAUAAUGACUGCUUUUCAGAUUGGAAAUCAAGACUAAUGCAACUAAUAAUUUCAACAUGGUGUCAGUUCCAGCUUGGGCUGCACUGCGGCUCAGUGGCAAACAAAACAACCAUAUCAAGUUGUCUUGAGCCUGCCAAUCAGUCCUCUCAGCAGGGUGAAGUACUAUCCAUGGGGACGGCUUUACCAGAAUCCCGGAUGAAGAGGAUGUGGGAAGAGCCAGCAGCUGUGAACCCAGUGGCCUUGCCAAGCACCGCUGGCCAGACAAACCAGAUGUGCAACCCAGUAAAAUUCAUAUUAGAAAUGACGGGCAGACAGAUGGGUGGGACUGUGGGUGAGUAAAGAUACGUUGUCUCUGAGGCAAACUAGCAUACCACACAAAAAGAGAGCGAGACUCUCUAAAAUGAAAAAAAAAAAACUAUGAGCACUAUGCUCUCAAUGACAUUUAAGUUUGUUUUAGAGAAUAAAACAUUGUUAAGUUUUCAUUUUUAACUAGUAAUGUGUGUAAAACCAAGUUGUGUGUGCUGUGCCUAUAUGAGAUAAAUAGUUGAUAGAUGAUCUGCAUCCGAAAUCGCAUACUUCCCUAAUAUACAGCAUCCGGUUGACUUACUACUUCCAACGAGAUUCUUAAGUGUGCAUACAAUACAGGACACUUUUAAAGGUGCAGUGUGUAAAUUUUAGGGCCAUCUAGCGGUGAGGUUGCGAACUGCAACCAACGGCAGCUCACCCCUCCCUUUCGAAACAAAACAGAGAGGCUAUGGUGGCCGUCUGGCCGACACAAGACAAAGAUGUCGUCGUCUGAGACAGCAGAGUAUGUUAGCCAGCCAAGCAAUGAGGUUUCUUCUGACUUCUAACAAAGAAUGGUCUCUGCUUCUAAUAAACCAAACAACUAUUACUACUACUUUGUGCAUAUUCAAUGUAGUGAUGAUGCAAGCUGCCUCCAAAAACACAAAUGAUUUAAAACAAGAACAACAUAGUGAUGAAACGUGCUCUGUAGAGUGUUUGUCCGUUUAGGGCUGCUGUAGAAACAUGCCGGCGCAUAAUGGCGACUUAAAGGCGCUCUAAGCGAUUUGAC
This is a long non-coding RNA of Megalobrama amblycephala (Wuchang bream), 2371 nucleotides long. RefSeq lists it as uncharacterized. Lineage: Eukaryota; Metazoa; Chordata; Actinopteri; Cypriniformes; Xenocyprididae. The record is from RefSeq and is a predicted model, not a curated record. The transcript has 3 exons.